This 379-nucleotide ribosomal RNA is filed under the name uncultured bacterium. Its description in RNAcentral is "bacterial SSU rRNA". It matches the Rfam family "Bacterial small subunit ribosomal RNA", at positions 29 to 406 of the family's 1533-position model. The record is from RNAcentral.
AAUGAACGCUGGCGGCGUGCUUAACACAUGCAAGUCGAACGAUGAAGUUUCUAGCUUGCUAGAGACGGAUUAGUGGCGCACGGGUGAGUAAUGCAUAGGUAACGUGCCCCUUAGUCUGGGAUAGCCACUGGAAACGGUGAAUAAUACCGGAUACUCCUUCUAGCUUAAUGUUAGUCGGGAAAGUUUUUCGCUAAGGGAUCGGCCUAUGUUGUAUCAGGUAGUUGGUGAGGUAAUGGCUCACCAAGCCUAUGACACAUAGCGGGUCUGAGAGGAUGAUCCGCCACACUGGUACUGAGACACGGACCAGACUCCUACGGGAGGCAGCAGUGGGGAAUAUUGCACAAUGGGCGAAAGCCUGAUGCAGCAACGCCGCGUGGAG